GUGCUCACUUUGGCAGCACAUAUACUAAAAUCAGAAUGAAACAAAGGAGAUUAGCAUGGCCCCUGCACAAGGACGACAUGCAAAUUCAUGAAGCAUUCCAUAGUUUU
Molecule: small nuclear RNA, 107 nt
Organism: Meriones unguiculatus (Mongolian gerbil)
Lineage: Eukaryota; Metazoa; Chordata; Mammalia; Rodentia; Muridae
Source: Ensembl